RNAcentral lists this microRNA precursor (204 nucleotides) under Oryza brachyantha (malo sina). RNAcentral describes it as "MIR812 microRNA precursor family". It matches the Rfam family "MIR812 microRNA precursor family". Lineage: Eukaryota; Viridiplantae; Streptophyta; Magnoliopsida; Poales; Poaceae. The record is from Rfam by way of RNAcentral.
ACAAAACCAAUUUUUCACUUUUUACUUAUAAUGUUUGACUUCGUUUUAUUCAAAAAUUUGUUAUGAUUAACAUUUUUGUUUUUAUUAGAUGAUAAAUCAUGAAUAGUACUUAACGUGUGACUAUUUUUUUUCAAUUUCUUAAAAAAAUUUCAAAUAAGACGGAUGGUCAAACGCUGAACACGGGAAUCGAAGAGUUGGUUUAUU